Molecule: ribosomal RNA, 1346 nt
Filed under: uncultured bacterium
Lineage: Bacteria
Description: partial 16S ribosomal RNA
Rfam family: Bacterial small subunit ribosomal RNA
Source: RNAcentral
GACGAACGCUGGCGGCGUGCUUAACACAUGCAAGUCGAACGGAAAGGCCCUGCUUUUGUGGGGUGCUCGAGUGGCGAACGGGUGAGUAGCACGUGAGUAACCUGCCCUUGACUUUGGGAUAACUUCAGGAAACUGGGGCUAAUACCGGAUAGGAGCUCCUGCUGCAUGGUGGGGGUUGGAAAGUUUCGGCGGUUGGGGAUGGACUCGCGGCUUAUCAGCUUGUUGGUGGGGUAGUGGCUUACCAAGGCUUUGACGGGUAGCCGGCCUGAGAGGGUGACCGGCCACAUUGGGACUGAGAUACGGCCCAGACUCCUACGGGAGGCAGCAGUGGGGAAUAUUGCACAAUGGGCGGAAGCCUGAUGCAGCAACGCCGCGUGCGGGAUGACGGCCUUCGGGUUGUAAACCGCUUUCGCCUGUGACGAAGCGUGAGUGACGGUAAUGGGUAAAGAAGCACCGGCUAACUACGUGCCAGCAGCCGCGGUGAUACGUAGGGUGCGAGCGUUGUCCGGAUUUAUUGGGCGUAAAGGGCUCGUAGGUGGUUGAUCGCGUCGGAAGUGUAAUCUUGGGGCUUAACCCUGAGCGUGCUUUCGAUACGGGUUGACUUGAGGAAGGUAGGGGAGAAUGGAAUUCCUGGUGGAGCGGUGGAAUGCGCAGAUAUCAGGAGGAACACCAGUGGCGAAGGCGGUUCUCUGGGCCUUUCCUGACGCUGAGGAGCGAAAGCGUGGGGAGCGAACAGGCUUAGAUACCCUGGUAGUCCACGCUGUAAACGGUGGGUACUAGGUGUGGGGUCCAUUCCACGGGUUCCGUGCCGUAGCUAACGCUUUAAGUACCCCGCCUGGGGAGUACGGCCGCAAGGCUAAAACUCAAAGGAAUUGACGGGGCCCCGCACAAGCGGCGGAGCAUGCGGAUUAAUUCGAUGCAACGCGUAGAACCUUACCUGGGUUUGACAUGGAUCGGGAGUGCUCAGAGAUGGGUGUGCCUCUUUUGGGGUCGGUUCACAGGUGGUGCAUGGCUGUCGUCAGCUCGUGUCGUGAGAUGUUGGGUUAAGUCCCGCAACGAGCGCAACCCUUGUUCACUGUUGCCAGCACGUUAUGGUGGGGACUCAGUGGAGACCGCCGGGGUCAACUCGGAGGAAGGUGGGGAUGACGUCAAGUCAUCAUGCCCCUUAUGUCCAGGGCUUCACGCAUGCUACAAUGGCUGGUACAGAGAGUGGCGAGCCUGUGAGGGUGAGCGAAUCUCGGAAAGCCGGUCUCAGUUCGGAUUGGGGUCUGCAACUCGAUCUCAUGAAGUCGGAGUCGCUAGUAAUCGCAGAUCAGCAACGCUGCGGUGAAUACGUUCCCGGGGCU